CGGCGUGCUUAACACAUGCAAGUCGAGCGGCAGCGCGGGAGCAAUCCUGGCGGCGAGCGGCGAACGGGUGAGUAAUGCUUCGGAAUCUACCCAGUAGUGGGGAAUAACCAGUCGAAAGACUGGCUAAUACCGCAUACGACCCACGGGUGAAAGCAGGGGAUCGCAAGACCUUGCGCUAUUGGAUGAGCCGAAGUCGGAUUAGCUAGUUGGUGGGGUAAAGGCCCACCAAGGCGACGAUCCGUAGCUGGUCUGAGAGGACGACCAGCCACACUGGGACUGAGACACGGCCCAGACUCCUACGGGAGGCAGCAGUGGGGAAUUUUCCGCAAUGGGCGAAAGCCUGACGGAGCAAGACCGCGUGAGGGAGGAAGGCUCUUGGGUUGUAAACCUCUUUUCUCAGGGAAGAACUCCAUGACGGUACCUGAGGAAUCAGCCUCGGCUAACUCCGUGCCAGCAGCCGCGGUAAUACGGAGGAGGCAAGCGUUAUCCGGAAUUAUUGGGCGUAAAGCGUCCGUAGGUGGUCAUGUAAGUCGGUCGUCAAAGCCAGAGGCUCAACCUCUGUCCGGCGGUAGAAACUGCAAGACUAGAGAGAGGUAGGGGUAGAGGGAAUUCCCAGUGUAGCGGUGAAAUGCGUAGAUAUUGGGAAGAACACCAGUGGCGAAGGCGCUCUGCUGGACCGAGACUGACGCUGAGGGACGAAAGCUAGGGGAGCGAAAGGGAUUAGAUACCCCUGUAGUCCUAGCUGUAAACGAUGGACACUAGGUGUUGCGCGUAUCGACCCGUGCAGUGCCGUAGCUAACGCGUUUAAGUCGUCCCGCCUGGGGAGUAACGCACGCAAGUUGAAACUCAAAGGAUGACGGGGGCCCGCACAAGCGGUGGAGUAUGUGGUUUAAUUUCGAUGCAACGCGAAGAACCUUACCAGGGUUUGACAUCCCUCGAAUCUCGGCAAAGUUGAGAGUGCCUUCGGGAGCGAGGAGACAGGUGGUGCAUGGCUGUCGUCAGCUCGUGUCGUGAGAUGUUGGGUUAAGUCCCGCAACGAGCGCAACCCACGUUUCCAGUUGCCAGCAUUAAGUUGGGGACUCUGGAGAGACUGCCGGUGACAAACCGGAGGAAGGUGCGGACGACGUCAAGUCAUCAUGCCCCUUACAUCCUGGGCUACACACGUACUACAAUGGUUAGGACAAAGGGCAGCGAAGCCGCGAGGUGGAGCAAAACUCAUAAACCUAGCCUCAGUUCAGAUUGCAGGCUGCAACUCGCCUGCAUGAAGGAGGAAUCGCUAGUAAUCGCAGGUCAGCAUACUGCGGUGAAUACGUUCCCGGGCCUUGUACACACCGCCCGUCACACCAUGGGAGUUGGCCACGCCCGAAGUCGUUACCCUAACCGUUCGCGGAGGGGGACGCCGAAGGUGGGGCUGAUGACUGGGGUG
This 1426-nucleotide ribosomal RNA is filed under the name uncultured bacterium. Its description in RNAcentral is "bacterial SSU rRNA". It matches the Rfam family "Bacterial small subunit ribosomal RNA". The record is from RNAcentral.